UACGUAGGGUGCAAGCGUUGUCCGGAAUUAUUGGGCGUAAAGAGCUCGUAGGCGGUUCGUCGCGUCGGCUGUGAAAACCCGAGGCUCAACCUCGGGCCUGCAGUCGAUACGGGCGGACUGGAGUUCGGCAGGGGAGACUGGAAUUCCUGGUGUAGCGGUGAAAUGCGCAGAUAUCAGGAGGAACACCGGUGGCGAAGGCGGGUCUCUGGGCCGAUACUGACGCUGAGGAGCGAAAGCGUGGGUAGCAAACAGG
Molecule: ribosomal RNA, 253 nt
Filed under: uncultured bacterium
Lineage: Bacteria
Description: partial 16S ribosomal RNA
Rfam family: Bacterial small subunit ribosomal RNA
Source: RNAcentral